CGGAGGGUGCAAGCGUUGUCCGGAUUUAUUGGGUUUAAAGGGUGCGUAGGCGGCUGAAUAAGUCAGCGGUGAAAGACUUCGGCUUAACCGGAGCAGUGCCGUUGAUACUGUUUADCUUGAGUGUDGGAGGGGUACAUGGAAUUGAUGGUGUAGCGGUGAAAUGCAUAGAUAYCAUCARGAACACCGAUAGCGAAGGCAUYGUACUGGCCAACAACUGACGCUSAGGCACGAAAGUGUGGGGAUCGAACAGGAUUAGAUACCCUGGUUAGUCCACACCGUAAACGAUGAUUACUCGCUGUUGUGGWGUAAGCKGYAGCGYCCAAGCGAAAGCGUUAA
This 336-nucleotide ribosomal RNA is filed under the name uncultured bacterium. Its description in RNAcentral is "partial 16S ribosomal RNA". It matches the Rfam family "Bacterial small subunit ribosomal RNA", at positions 526 to 863 of the family's 1533-position model. The record is from RNAcentral.